GAGGGUAUAGGUCAGUGGUAGAACACAUGCUUAGCAUGCACAAGGUCCUGGGUUCAAUCCCCAGUACCUCCA
This 72-nucleotide transfer RNA is filed under the name Camelus bactrianus (Bactrian camel). It matches the Rfam family "tRNA". Rfam says of the family: Transfer RNA (tRNA) molecules are approximately 80 nucleotides in length. RNAcentral also lists the same sequence under 2 other names. Lineage: Eukaryota; Metazoa; Chordata; Mammalia; Artiodactyla; Camelidae. The record is from Rfam by way of RNAcentral.